CCUANGGGGGGCAGCAGUGGGGAAUAUUGCGCAAUGGGGGAAACCCUGACGCAGCAACGCCGCGUGGGUGAUGAAGGCCUUCGGGUCGUAAAGCCCUGUCGGGUGGGACGAAUCGGUCGCGGGUGAACAAUCCGCGGUCUUGACGGUACCACUAAAGGAAGCACCGGCUAACUCCGUGCCAGCAGCCGCGGUAAUACGGAGGGUGCAAGCGUUGUUCGGAAUUACUGGGCGUAAAGAGCUUGUAGGCGGCUUGCUAAGUCCGAUGUGAAAGCCCUCGGCUCAACCGGGGAAGUGCAUUGGAUACUGGCGAGCUUGAGUAUGGGAGAGGAGAGCGGAAUUCCCGGUGUAGAGGUGAAAUUCGUAGAUAUCGGGAGGAACACCAGUGGCGAAGGCGGCUCUCUGGACCAAUACUGACGCUGAGAAGCGAAAGCGUGGGGAGCAAACAGGAUUAGAUACCCCANUANUC
Molecule: ribosomal RNA, 466 nt
Filed under: uncultured bacterium
Lineage: Bacteria
Description: bacterial SSU rRNA
Rfam family: Bacterial small subunit ribosomal RNA
Source: RNAcentral